This is a non-coding RNA of Triticum aestivum (bread wheat), 114 nucleotides long. The record is from Rfam. NCBI's taxonomy places the organism in Eukaryota, Viridiplantae, Streptophyta, Magnoliopsida, Poales, Poaceae.
AAAAUACUCCCUCCGUUCGAAAAAACGUGUCCCUCAAAUGGACGUGUCUAGCACUAACUUGGUGCUAGACACAUCCAUUUGAGGGACAAGUUUUUUUGGACGGAGGUGUACAUA